UACGAAGGGGGCUAGCGUUGCUCGGAAUCACUGGGCGUAAAGCGCACGUAGGCGGCUUGUUAAGUCAGGGGUGAAAUCCUGGAGCUCAACUCCAGAACUGCCUUUGAUACUGGCGAUCUUGAGUCCGGGAGAGGUGAGUGGAACUGCGAGUGUAGAGGUGAAAUUCGUAGAUAUUCGCAAGAACACCAGUGGCGAAGGCGGCUCACUGGCCCGGUACUGACGCUGAGGCACGAAAGCGUGGGGAGCAAACAGG
This 253-nucleotide ribosomal RNA is filed under the name uncultured bacterium. Its description in RNAcentral is "partial 16S ribosomal RNA". It matches the Rfam family "Bacterial small subunit ribosomal RNA", at positions 524 to 776 of the family's 1533-position model. The record is from RNAcentral.